UCAGGCCUAACACAUGCAAGUCGUACGGGAAUUUUUAAUUCAAGUGGCGGACGGGUGAGUAACACGUAAGAAUUUGCCUUUAGGAGGGGGACAACAACUGGAAACGGUUGCUAAUACCCCAUAUGCUUUCGAGUGAAAUGGAUUUUUCCGCCUAAAGAGAAGCUUGCGGCUGAUUAGCUUGUUGGUGAGGUAAUGGCUCACCAAGGCGACGAUCAGUAUCUGGUUUGAGAGGAUGAUCAGACACACUGGAACUGAGACACGGUCCAGACUCCUACGGGAGGCAGCAGUGGGGAAUUUUCCGCAAAGGGCGAAAGCCUGACGGAGCAAUCUCGCGUGAGGGUUGAAGGGCUAUGGGUUGCAAACCUCUUUUUCAGGGAGGAACAAAA
This 386-nucleotide ribosomal RNA is filed under the name uncultured bacterium. RNAcentral describes it as "bacterial SSU rRNA". It matches the Rfam family "Bacterial small subunit ribosomal RNA", at positions 42 to 454 of the family's 1533-position model. The record is from RNAcentral.